GCUGGCGGCGUGCCUAAUACAUGCAAGUCGAACGGGAAGGCUGUUUUCGGAUAGCCGGAGAGUGGCGCACGGGUGAGUAACACAUGGCUGACCUGCCCUUCAGACGAGGACAACCGGUGGAAACGCUGGCUAAUACUCGAUACGCUCGUGGGAGUUAGAGACCCGUGAGGAAAGCGAUGAGUGCUGAAGGAGGGGGCUGUGGCCCAUCAUCUAGUUGGUAGGGUAACGGCCUACCAAGGCGAGGACGGGUAGGGGGCCUGAGAGGGUGAUCCCCCACACGGGUACUGAGACACGGACCCGACUCCUACGGGAGGCAGCAGUAAGGGAUAUUGCGCAAUGGGCGAAAGCCUGACGCAGCAACGCCGCGUGCGGGAUGACGGCCUUCGGGUUGUAAACCGCUUUUCAGGGUGAAGAGGAAGGACGGUAGCCCUGGAAUCA
RNAcentral lists this ribosomal RNA (438 nucleotides) under uncultured bacterium. RNAcentral describes it as "bacterial SSU rRNA". It matches the Rfam family "Bacterial small subunit ribosomal RNA", at positions 35 to 489 of the family's 1533-position model. The record is from RNAcentral.